UACGUAGGUGGCAAGCGUUGUCCGGAUUUACUGGGCGUAAAGAGCGCGCAGGCGGUCGUAUAAGUCGGAUGUGAAAGCCCCCGGCUCAACUGGGGAGGGUCAUUCGAUACUGGUCGACUCGAAGGCAGGAGAGGGAAGUGGAAUUCCGGGUGUAGUGGUGAAAUGCGUAGAUAUCAGGAGGAACACCGGUGGCGAAGGCGGGUCUCUGGGCCGAUACUGACGCUGAGGAGCGAAAGCGUGGGGAGCGAACAGG
RNAcentral lists this ribosomal RNA (253 nucleotides) under uncultured bacterium. Its description in RNAcentral is "partial 16S ribosomal RNA". It matches the Rfam family "Bacterial small subunit ribosomal RNA", at positions 524 to 776 of the family's 1533-position model. The record is from RNAcentral.